This is a non-coding RNA of Rattus norvegicus (Norway rat), 289 nucleotides long. Lineage: Eukaryota; Metazoa; Chordata; Mammalia; Rodentia; Muridae. The record is from Rfam.
GAGGGAGGGUGAUCUGGCUGCAACGUCUGUCAGUCUACUCAUCACCAAGGUUGACUCAGCUAAUUUGGCUGGCUAGGUCGGUGUCCCCUUUCAACCUUACCAUUCAUGUGUAUCUCACCCAGAGCUUCAUGCUUCGUUGAAGAGGACAACCUUCCCCUAUAGAGGCAGAGCACUGUUUUUAUCAAGGGUAUAUGACUAGCUGUACUCCCUGAUAGACCUCCACAUGCUCUCAAGCCUGCACUUUCUGAUUUUUUUCAUCCCUAAAUGUUCAAUUCAAUAUAUUAUUAAU